This is a long non-coding RNA of Rattus rattus (black rat), 1621 nucleotides long. RefSeq lists it as uncharacterized. The transcript is spliced from 5 exons. NCBI's taxonomy places the organism in Eukaryota, Metazoa, Chordata, Mammalia, Rodentia, Muridae. The record is from RefSeq and is a predicted model, not a curated record.
CCAGCCCUGACCCACCCUGGCAGAUGGCCGGUACUCACCCAGCGAAGUCCCUGGAUGCAGCUUGGGCGCCGGUGCUCGAACACUAGCUGCUGGGCCCACCUGCCAGUGGCUCUCACCUGGCCAGCUGACCUGUGUUGGGGGGAGGAAAGUGGACAGCCAUCGGCCGGAGGAGCUGGACCUUCCUACCACCACCCCAGGCUUAGCGUCCUCUGGACUUGGACUGGUCAUGCGGAGCUCACACCGCGGUGCUUGCCCUAGCAAGAGGCUGCAGGAACCCUGGAGUGCCCCAGGGCAGCUCCACCCGGGAGUCCUGGAGGGGGAUGAGUGAGUCCCUGGCGCAGGAAAGGGUCAGCUUCCAGCAGGACAGGUUGCCGGGAGUAGCGAGGUGCAGGGCUGGGCAGAUGGGGUUAGUCCUGGGUGAGUAGAGGGCUGGGGGCGUGGGGGAGCCCCCACCCCUCCCCAAAGACUAAGGACUCCGAGCCUCCGCCUCCGUCCCAGAUGUAAAAGCCAGCUGGCACAGGGCGUUCAGGCGAAGCUGCAGCUGGCACUGGUCCGGGCGGGAGCUGUCACACCCCCUGCGCUGCCCGCCCCUUCCCCUCCCCGGGACAGGGGGCGGGGAGCAGGCACCGGCUUUACGGUAGGUGUGGGCAUAAGGGAAGGGGCAGGGCCAGCAGUUGAUGGAGUCCCUACCCGGGACUACGUCAGUGGGUUCAAGCUCUUGUCCUGAGGUUCAGCGGGUAGGAAGUGCCGAAGGGUAUCUGCCCCGGCCGCUGCCCGAGUGCCGGGUUAGGGGCGGUGAUGGCUGCACCCGCCGCCACGUGGCCAAGAGGAGAAAUGCAAACAAGGAAACUAGGGAAGGGGGAGGGAGUGAGUCAUGGCGGCCCCACCCGGGAGGGAAAUCCGGGCUGGGGCCGCUUCCUGGCCAGGGGCGUCCGGCCUCCCGUUUGGGCUCAGGGUUUCCAGAAGCCCGGGGCUGAAACUGGGCAGCCUUCCCGUGGGGGAAUCCCGUUGCCUGGCCUCCCACCUUUGCCCUCCCAAUCGCACACACUGGCGCGGGUGGGGAAAUUGAGGCUGGCGGGGAGGGACUGCAUUCCAGAUGGAGAGGGGCAAGUGGGUAGGUGUAAAGUGCCGGGACUUGACUCUGUGGCAGAGUUUCAAAGACAGGAUGGGCUUUGGGGGCCCCGCCCCGCCCACAAAGUGCUCCCCUGUGCCGAGCUAGGUGAAGGCAGAGCACACCUCCUCCUUGGGCCUCUUUCCACCGUCGCACAGAUGGCCGGCACUUCGUCUCGCUCGCUCCUGCUUUCUAGUGGACAGACUGUGACCUGGGACUGUGAUUUCCGGUAAUUGCUCAGGACAUCGGGCAUAUUAGCACGACUGAUUUAACUCCUCGAAUUCCGAUUCUAUCCUAUUGGCACGAAGUGGAAACUCUGAGCUUUGAACAAACGUUCCAGGUCUUCUGUAGUGCCCACCCUUGGAGACACACUAUUGAAGAUUUCUCUGCGCCUCUCUGAGGAAAGAGGAGGACCUGGAGACAAGUCUUCCUCACAACUCAGGUCAGCGAGAGAAGCAGUCAAUGCACAGGAAGCACCUGAAGAAAGCUAUUCAAAUGGGCAACAAUGAG